CAGGCUUAACACAUGCAAGUCGAGGGGCAGCAUUUCAGUUUGCUUGCAAACUGGAGAUGGCGACCGGCGCACGGGUGAGUAACACGUAUCCAACCUGCCGAUAACUCGGGGAUAGCCUUUCGAAAGAAAGAUUAAUACCCGAUGGUAUAAUCAGACCGCAUGGUCUUGUUAUUAAAGAAUUUCGGUUAUCGAUGGGGAUGCGUUCCAUUAGGCAGUUGGUGAGGUAACGGCUCACCAAACCUUCGAUGGAUAGGGGUUCUGAGAGGAAGGUCCCCCACAUUGGAACUGAGACACGGUCCAAACUCCUACGGGAGGCAGCAGUGAGGAAUAUUGGUCAAUGGGCGCAGGCCUGAACCAGCCAAGUAGCGUGAAGGAUGACUGCCCUAUGGGUUGUAAACUUCUUUUAUAUGGGAAUAGAGUUUUCCACGUGUGGAAUUUUGUAUGUACCAUAUGAAUAAGGAUCGGCUAACUCCGUGCCAGCAGCCGCGGUAAUACGGAGGAUCCGAGCGUUAUCCGGAUUUAUUGGGUUUAAAGGGAGCGUAGGUGGACAGUUAAGUCAGUUGUGAAAGUUUGCGGCUCAACCGUAAAAUUGCAGUUGAUACUGGCUGUCUUGAGUACAGUAGAGGUGGGCGGAAUUCGUGGUGUAGCGGUGAAAUGCUUAGAUAUCACGAAGAACUCCGAUUGCGAAGGCAGCUCACUGGACUGCAACUGACACUGAUGCUCGAAAGUGUGGGUAUCAAACAGGAUUAGAUACCCUGGUAGUCCACACAGUAAACGAUGAAUACUCGCUGUUUGCGAUAUACAGUAAGCGGCCAAGCGAAAGCAUUAAGUAUUCCACCUGGGGAGUACGCCGGCAACGGUGAAACUCAAAGGAAUUGACGGGGGCCCGCACAAGCGGAGGAACAUGUGGUUUAAUUCGAUGAUACGCGAGGAACCUUACCCGGGCUUAAAUUGCAUUUGAAUAUAUUGGAAACAGUAUAGCCGUAAGGCAAAUGUGAAGGUGCUGCAUGGUUGUCGUCAGCUCGUGCCGUGAGGUGUCGGCUUAAGUGCCAUAACGAGCGCAACCCUUAUCUUUAGUUACUAACAGGUCAUGCUGAGGACUCUAGAGAGACUGCCGUCGUAAGAUGUGAGGAAGGUGGGGAUGACGUCAAAUCAGCACGGCCCUUACGUCCGGGGCUACACACGUGUUACAAUGGGGGGUACAGAAGGCAGCUACCUGGUGACAGGAUGCUAAUCCCAAAAGCCUCUCUCAGUUCGGAUCGAAGUCUGCAACCCGACUUCGUGAAGCUGGAUUCGCUAGUAAUCGCGCAUCAGCCAUGGCGCGGUGAAUACGUUCCCGGGCCUUGUACACACCGCCCGUCAAGCCAUGAAAGCCGGGGGUACCUGAAGUACGUAACCGCAAGGAGCGUCCUAGGGUAAAACUGGUAAUUGGGGC
This 1435-nucleotide ribosomal RNA is filed under the name uncultured organism. RNAcentral describes it as "16S ribosomal RNA". It matches the Rfam family "Bacterial small subunit ribosomal RNA". The record is from RNAcentral.